RNAcentral lists this ribosomal RNA (253 nucleotides) under uncultured bacterium. Its description in RNAcentral is "partial 16S ribosomal RNA". It matches the Rfam family "Bacterial small subunit ribosomal RNA", at positions 524 to 776 of the family's 1533-position model. The record is from RNAcentral.
UACGAAGGGUGCAAGCGUUACUCGGAAUUACUGGGCGUAAAGCGUGCGUAGGUGGUUCGUUAAGUCUGAUGUGAAAGCCCUGGGCUCAACCUGGGAAUGGCAUUGGAAACUGGCGACCUAGAGUGCGGUAGAGGGUAGUGGAAUUCCCGGUGUAGCAGUGAAAUGCGUAGAUAUUGGGAAGAACACCGGUGGCGAAGGCGGCUCUCUGGACCGAUACUGACGCUGAGGCGCGAAAGCGUGGGGAGCAAACAGG